AUUGAACGCUGGCGGCAUGCCUUACACAUGCAAGUCGAACGGCAGCACGGGUGCUUGCACCUGGUGGCGAGUGGCGAACGGGUGAGUAAUACAUCGGAACAUGUCCUGUAGUGGGGGAUAGCCCGGCGAAAGCCGGAUUAAUACCGCAUACGAUCUACGGAUGAAAGCGGGGGACCUUCGGGCCUCGCGCUAUAGGGUUGGCCGAUGGCGGAUUAGCUAGUUGGUGGGGGCAGGUCCAACCAAGGCGAGGAUCAGUAGCAGACCUGAGAGGACGAUCGGCACGACUGGGACGGAGAACCGGCGCAGACGCCUACGGGAGGCAGCAGGAGGGAAGCGUCGGCAAUGGGGGCAACCCUGACCGAGCAACGCCGCGGGAGUGAAGAAGGUCUUCGGAGCGGAAAGCUCGGUUGUAAGUCAAGAACGGGUGGGAGAGUGGAAAGUUCACACUGUGACGGUAGCUUACCAGAAAGAGACGGCUAACUACGUG
This 487-nucleotide ribosomal RNA is filed under the name uncultured bacterium. RNAcentral describes it as "partial 16S ribosomal RNA". It matches the Rfam family "Bacterial small subunit ribosomal RNA", at positions 29 to 507 of the family's 1533-position model. The record is from RNAcentral.